This 655-nucleotide long non-coding RNA is filed under the name Homo sapiens (human). Its description in RNAcentral is "SOX9 antisense RNA 1". Lineage: Eukaryota; Metazoa; Chordata; Mammalia; Primates; Hominidae. The record is from RNAcentral.
AUUCAUUGUGCAGGUGAGUGUCUUAGGUGAGGCUGGACUCUUCCUCCGAGAAGAUCUGAAAUGCAGUGAGCACUUUUGCUUGAAGACAGGGACUGAUUUUGGUAGCAUCCUUUGGUCUCUUCUAGUCUGGGAGUCAGAGAAAGUUUGCAUCAAAAUGUCAUCAGGCCAAAAACAAUCCAUUGAUACACUUGGUGACAUUAAUUGAGAAAAAAACAAUAUGGUCUGGCCAUGGAGGCAUGGUAUCCGUAACAUCCCCCAAAGGAGCUAAAGAAGAAAUCCACAAUUUACCAUGAGCAUUUCUCGUCUGAAGAUUGCCAAGCGAUUCCUCCAGGACAUUCCUCAAGAUCAAUUUCUGUUCAUCCACCUUGUCCUGGGAGGGACAUCAAUGGGUUUCCAUGUCCUUUGGCUUCUGGUUGAGUUCACUCAGUGGAGAACCCUGGCAAGAGGCAGGAAAAGGGGAGGAAGGUGAAAACCAUCCAUUUCUUGGAGAAGUGCCACGGUGGGGUUGCAAGUCCCAGGAUCAAGUUUUCGAUGUGUCUCUUUUUCCCGUAAAGUGGCUGAAAUCUGAAGCUGAAUCUGCAAGUGUCAUGGAGUCAUUGAAUCUCACAGUCUCAACUGAUAAAAGUUAUUAAAGGUCGUCUGGUUCAGCCUUCUA